UUGAACUGAAGAGUUUGAUCAUGGCUCAGAUUGAACGCUGGCGGCAGGCCUAACACAUGCAAGUCGAGCGGUAGAGAGAAGCUUGCUUCUCUUGAGAGCGGCGGACGG
RNAcentral lists this ribosomal RNA (108 nucleotides) under Pseudomonas salomonii. RNAcentral's name for it is "16S rRNA. Bacterial SSU". It matches the Rfam family "Bacterial small subunit ribosomal RNA", at positions 1 to 105 of the family's 1533-position model. Lineage: Bacteria; Pseudomonadati; Pseudomonadota; Gammaproteobacteria; Pseudomonadales; Pseudomonadaceae. The record is from RNAcentral.